RNAcentral lists this ribosomal RNA (261 nucleotides) under uncultured bacterium. RNAcentral describes it as "partial 16S ribosomal RNA". It matches the Rfam family "Bacterial small subunit ribosomal RNA", at positions 524 to 784 of the family's 1533-position model. The record is from RNAcentral.
UACGUAGGGUGCAAGCGUUAAUCGGAUUUACUGGGCGUAAAGGGUGCGUAGGCGGUUGGGUAAGUCUGAUGUGAAAUCCCCGGGCCCAACCCGGGAACGGCAUUAGAAACUGCCCGGCUGGAGGGUUGGAGGGGGGACUGGAAUUCCCGGUGUAGCAGUGAAAUGCGUAGAUAUCGGGAGGAACGCCAGUGGCGAAGGCGAGUCCCUGGACAACACCUGACGCUGAGGCACGAAAGCUAGGGGAGCAAACGGGAUUAGAAA